RNAcentral lists this ribosomal RNA (253 nucleotides) under uncultured bacterium. Its description in RNAcentral is "partial 16S ribosomal RNA". It matches the Rfam family "Bacterial small subunit ribosomal RNA", at positions 524 to 776 of the family's 1533-position model. The record is from RNAcentral.
UACGGAGGGUGCGAGCGUUGUUCGGAAUCACUGGGCGUAAAGGGCGUGUAGGCGGUCCGCUAAGUCUGAUGUGAAAGCCCGGGGCUCACCCCCGGAAGGGCAUUGGAAACUGACGGACUCGAGUCCCGAAGAGGAGGGUGGAAUUCCGGGUGUAGCGGUGGAAUGCGUAGAGAUCCGGAAGAACACCGGUGGCGAAGGCGGCCUGCUGGGCAGUAGCUGACGCUGAUGCGCGACAGCGUGGGGAGCAAACAGG